This 467-nucleotide ribosomal RNA is filed under the name uncultured bacterium. RNAcentral's name for it is "bacterial SSU rRNA". It matches the Rfam family "Bacterial small subunit ribosomal RNA", at positions 328 to 793 of the family's 1533-position model. The record is from RNAcentral.
GCACCAGACUCCUACGGGAGGCAGCAGUGAGGAAUAUUGGUCAAUGGCCGAGAGGCUGAACCAGCCAAGUCGCGUGAGGGAUGACGGCCCUACGGGUUGUAAACCUCUUUUGUCGGGGAGCAAAGAGAGUCACGUGUGACUCAUUGAGAGUACCCGAAGAAAAGGCAUCGGCUAACUCCGUGCCAGCAGCCGCGGUAAUACGGAGGAUGCGAGCGUUAUCCGGAUUUAUUGGGUUUAAAGGGUGCGCAGGCGGAAGAUCAAGUCAGCGGUAAAAUUGAGGGGCUCAACCUCUGCGAGCCGUUGAAACUGGUUUUCUUGAGUGAGCGAGAAGUAUGCGGAAUGCGCGGUGUAGCGGUGAAAUGCAUAGAUAUCGCGCAGAACUCCGAUUGCGAAGGCAGCAUGCCGGCUCCACACUGACGCUGAGGCACGAAAGCGUGGGUAUCGAACAGGAUUAGAUACCCCUGUAC